Molecule: ribosomal RNA, 427 nt
Filed under: uncultured bacterium
Lineage: Bacteria
Description: partial 16S ribosomal RNA
Rfam family: Bacterial small subunit ribosomal RNA
Source: RNAcentral
UAGGGAAUCUUCCGCAAUGGGCGAAAGCCUGACGGAGCAACGCCGCGUGAGUGAUGAAGGUCUUAGGAUCGUAAAACUCUGUUAUUAGGGAAGAACAAACGUGUAAGUAACUGUGCACGUCUUGACGGUACCCAAUCAGAAAGCCACGGCUAACUACGUGCCAGCAGCCGCGGUAAUACGUAGGUGGCAAGCGUUAUCCGGAAUUAUUGGGCGUAAAGCGCGCGUAGGCGGUUUUUUAAGUCUGAUGUGAAAGCCCACGGCUCAACCGUGGAGGGUCAUUGGAAACUGGAAAACUUGAGUGCAGAAGAGGAAAGUGGAAUUCCAUGUGUAGCGGUGAAAUGCGCAGAGAUAUGGAGGAACACCAGUGGCGAAGGCGACUUUCUGGUCUGUAACUGACGCUGAUGUGCGAAAGCGUGGGGAUCAAACA